RNAcentral lists this ribosomal RNA (431 nucleotides) under uncultured bacterium. RNAcentral describes it as "bacterial SSU rRNA". It matches the Rfam family "Bacterial small subunit ribosomal RNA", at positions 29 to 506 of the family's 1533-position model. The record is from RNAcentral.
ACGAACGCUGGCGGCAUGCCUAAUACAUGCAAGUCGAACGAACACUUCGGUGUUAGUGGCGCACGGGUGCGUAACGCGUGGGAAUCUACCCUUAGGUUCGGAAUAACAGUUAGAAAUGACUGCUAAUACCGGAUGAUGACGUAAGUCCAAAGAUUUAUCGCCCAAGGAUGAGCCCGCGUAGGAUUAGCUUGUUGGUGAGGUAAAAGCUCACCAAGGCGACGAUCCUUAGCUGGUCUGAGAGGAUGAUCAGCCACACUGGGACUGAGACACGGCCCAGACUCCUACGGGAGGCAGCAGUAGGGAAUAUUGGACAAUGGGGGAAACCCUGAUCCAGCAAUGCCGCGUGAGUGAUGAAGGCCUUAGGGUUGUAAAGCUCUUUUACCCGAGAUGAUAAUGACAGUAUCGGGAGAAUAAGCUCCGGCUAACUCCGU